CAGGUUAAAUUGAGGAUUUUGAUAGUACCAAAAUUAAUAAGUCAUAAUCCACCAAUCCAUAGUUUUAUACCAGCCUCUGUCUAUUUAAGGUCAAUUUGGAAAAGUUUUCAAGCAACUACUCUAAACCUAACCCCCUUUUUCAUUUUGUUAUUUGGUUAGUGUUUAACUAAAUAAGUUUAUAAUAUAAGCAUUAAGACUAUCUAAAAAAGCAUCCCCCCAGCACCCCCCCAAGAAAACCCACACUAAUUUAGGUUAAAAACAAAGUAAUGGCAGCAAAAGUGUCUUUAAGUUUUGCAAUAAUCCUUCCAGUACUUUUGCAUCCCAAAAGGCUCCAGAUGUGACCAGCCACUGCAAAAUGGAGAAAAAAAGUCCUGAACACUUCCACGUGGUGUUUGUUACAAGCCAUUUAUGGUCGGCCAUGCUUCCUUCUCCAGCCUCAUCGUUUUCUGCUCUUCCCCUCCUCACCCCAGGGAACUGUGAACUGUCACCUGGGUCAGGCUGUGCUGCCUGUCCCCCUGGGCUUUGGACCUGCUGCUUCCUUGCUGGAAUGCUGCCUCGGCCCUCCGGCUCCCCCAACACCAGUCAUCUGGCAGGCUGCUGCUAAUAUCACUUUCUGUGGAAAGCCUUCCCAGACCUUCCUCCCUCAGAACUGGAUGGGCUGACUCUUUCACAUCAACCAAUAUAUACCCCAAUAUCACACUGAAGACUUGGUGUUGAAAUGCCUGUUUUCUUGCCCUUCUUCCCCACUCAACAGGGAGCUCACUGAGGGCAGACAUCAGGUCUUUCUCACUGGUGUAGCCCCAGCUUCUAGCCCAUUGCCUGGCUCAUAAAAGACCC
Molecule: long non-coding RNA, 837 nt
Filed under: Homo sapiens (human)
Lineage: Eukaryota; Metazoa; Chordata; Mammalia; Primates; Hominidae
Description: HSALNT0090373
Source: RNAcentral